This is a non-coding RNA of Schistosoma curassoni, 45 nucleotides long. The record is from Rfam. Lineage: Eukaryota; Metazoa; Platyhelminthes; Trematoda; Strigeidida; Schistosomatidae.
AUCCAACUGACGAGUAUCAAAUAGAAGGAAUCGCGCGUCCUGGAU